GGUGGCUCAGUGGUAGAGCACUUGCCUUGCAUGCAUGAGGUCCUGGGUUCGAUUCCUCAGCACCA
Non-coding RNA from Dipodomys ordii (Ord's kangaroo rat), 65 nucleotides. NCBI's taxonomy places the organism in Eukaryota, Metazoa, Chordata, Mammalia, Rodentia, Heteromyidae. The record is from Rfam.